AUAGCCCAUUCUCUGCUCAUUUCGUUUUAUUGUUCUCAUGUGCUCUUUGCAAGCCUCUUAAUCAUUUCCAUGGCAAUGAACUUCAAUUCUUCCUUUCUUCUUAACUCUAACCCAUUCCGGUUUAAUCCUAGUUAUCAUGGUAAUGAUGUUGACAACAACAUGAAUCGAUUCUUCAACUUAGGCAGCCAGGGUAACCUUGUGAGAUCCAACACUGAUUACCAUGUUAAUCAGGAGAAUAACUU
This 242-nucleotide long non-coding RNA is filed under the name Carica papaya (papaya). Its description in RNAcentral is "long non-coding RNA (CPAP_LNC004676)". The record is from RNAcentral. Lineage: Eukaryota; Viridiplantae; Streptophyta; Magnoliopsida; Brassicales; Caricaceae.